GAUGAACGCUGGCGGCGUGCCUAAUACAUGCAAGUCGAGCGAACAGACGAGAGUGCUUGCACUCUCUGACGUUAGCGGCGGACGGGUGAGUAACACGUGGGUAACCUACCUAUAAGACUGGGAUAACUUCGGGAAACCGGAGCUAAUACCGCAUAAUAUUUAGCUUCGCAUGAAGCAAUAGUGAAAGACGGUUCUGCUGUCACUUAUAGAUGGACCCGCGGUGUAUUAGCUAGUUGGUGAGGUAACGGCUCACCAAGGCAACGAUACAUAGCCGACCUGAGAGGGUGAUCGGCCACACUGGGACUGAGACACGGACCAGACUCCUACGGGAGGCAGCAGUAGGGAAUCUUCCGCAAUGGACGAAAGUCUGACGGAGCAAUGCCGCGUGAGUGAAGAAGGUUUUCGGAUCGUAAAACUCUGUUGUAAGGGAAGAACAAGUACGUUAGUAACUGAACGUACCUUGACGGUACCUUACCAGAAAGCCACGGCUAACUACGUG
This 499-nucleotide ribosomal RNA is filed under the name uncultured bacterium. RNAcentral describes it as "partial 16S ribosomal RNA". It matches the Rfam family "Bacterial small subunit ribosomal RNA", at positions 28 to 507 of the family's 1533-position model. The record is from RNAcentral.